RNAcentral lists this ribosomal RNA (1428 nucleotides) under Vibrio parahaemolyticus. RNAcentral's name for it is "16S ribosomal RNA". It matches the Rfam family "Bacterial small subunit ribosomal RNA". Lineage: Bacteria; Pseudomonadati; Pseudomonadota; Gammaproteobacteria; Vibrionales; Vibrionaceae. The record is from RNAcentral.
UAGAGUUUGAUCCUGGCUCAGAUUGAACGCUGGCGGCAGGCCUAACACAUGCAAGUCGAGCGGAAACGAGUUAUCUGAACCUUCGGGGAACGAUAACGGCGUCGAGCGGCGGACGGGUGAGUAAUGCCUAGGAAAUUGCCCUGAUGUGGGGGAUAACCAUUGGAAACGAUGGCUAAUACCGCAUGAUGCCUACGGGCCAAAGAGGGGGACCUUCGGGCCUCUCGCGUCAGGAUAUGCCUAGGUGGGAUUAGCUAGUUGGUGAGGUAAGGGCUCACCAAGGCGACGAUCCCUAGCUGGUCUGAGAGGAUGAUCAGCCACACUGGAACUGAGACACGGUCCAGACUCCUACGGGAGGCAGCAGUGGGGAAUAUUGCACAAUGGGCGCAAGCCUGAUGCAGCCAUGCCGCGUGUGUGAAGAAGGCCUUCGGGUUGUAAAGCACUUUCAGUCGUGAGGAAGGUGGUGUAGUUAAUAGCUGCAUUAUUUGACGUUAGCGACAGAAGAAGCACCGGCUAACUCCGUGCCAGCAGCCGCGGUAAUACGGAGGGUGCGAGCGUUAAUCGGAAUUACUGGGCGUAAAGCGCAUGCAGGUGGUUUGUUAAGUCAGAUGUGAAAGCCCGGGGCUCAACCUCGGAAUAGCAUUUGAAACUGGCAGACUAGAGUACUGUAGAGGGGGGUAGAAUUUCAGGUGUAGCGGUGAAAUGCGUAGAGAUCUGAAGGAAUACCGGUGGCGAAGGCGGCCCCCUGGACAGAUACUGACACUCAGAUGCGAAAGCGUGGGGAGCAAACAGGAUUAGAUACCCUGGUAGUCCACGCCGUAAACGAUGUCUACUUGGAGGUUGUGGCCUUGAGCCGUGGCUUUCGGAGCUAACGCGUUAAGUAGACCGCCUGGGGAGUACGGUCGCAAGAUUAAAACUCAAAUGAAUUGACGGGGGCCCGCACAAGCGGUGGAGCAUGUGGUUUAAUUCGAUGCAACGCGAAGAACCUUACCUACUCUUGACAUCCAGAGAACUUUCCAGAGAUGGAUUGGUGCCUUCGGGAACUCUGAGACAGGUGCUGCAUGGCUGUCGUCAGCUCGUGUUGUGAAAUGUUGGGUUAAGUCCCGCAACGAGCGCAACCCUUAUCCUUGUUUGCCAGCGAGUAAUGUCGGGAACUCCAGGGAGACUGCCGGUGAUAAACCGGAGGAAGGUGGGGACGACGUCAAGUCAUCAUGGCCCUUACGAGUAGGGCUACACACGUGCUACAAUGGCGCAUACAGAGGGCGGCCAACUUGCGAAAGUGAGCGAAUCCCAAAAAGUGCGUCGUAGUCCGGAUUGGAGUCUGCAACUCGACUCCAUGAAGUCGGAAUCGCUAGUAAUCGUGGAUCAGAAUGCCACGGUGAAUACGUUCCCGGGCCUUGUACACACCGCCCGUCACACCAUGGGAGUGGG